GAUGAACGCUGGCGGCGUGCCUAAUACAUGCAAGUCGAGCGAACAGACCAGGUGCUUGCUCCUCUGACGUUAGCGGCGGACGGGUGAGUAACACGUGGAUAACCUACCUAUAAGACUGGGAUAACUUCGGGAAACCGGAGCUAAUACCGGAUAAUAUAUUGAACCGCAUGGUUCAAUAGUGAAAGACGGUUUUGCUGUCACUUAUAGAUGGAACCGCGCCGCAUUAGCUAGUUGGUAAGGUAACGGCUUACCAAGGCAACGAUGCGUAGCCGACCUGAGAGGGUGAUCGGCCACACUGGAACUGAGACACGGUCCAGACUCCUACGGGAGGCAGCAGUAGGGAAUCUUCCGCAAUGGGCGAAAGCCUGACGGAGCAACGCCGCGUGAGUGAUGAAGGUCUUCGGAUCGUAAAACUCUGUUAUUAGGGAAGAACAAAUGUGUAAGUAACUAUGCACGUCUUGACGGUACCUAAUCAGAAAGCCACGGCUAACUACGUG
This 497-nucleotide ribosomal RNA is filed under the name uncultured bacterium. RNAcentral describes it as "partial 16S ribosomal RNA". It matches the Rfam family "Bacterial small subunit ribosomal RNA", at positions 28 to 507 of the family's 1533-position model. The record is from RNAcentral.